RNAcentral lists this ribosomal RNA (848 nucleotides) under Salmonella enterica subsp. enterica serovar London. Its description in RNAcentral is "partial 23S ribosomal RNA". It matches the Rfam family "Bacterial large subunit ribosomal RNA", at positions 137 to 925 of the family's 2925-position model. The record is from RNAcentral. Lineage: Bacteria; Pseudomonadati; Pseudomonadota; Gammaproteobacteria; Enterobacterales; Enterobacteriaceae.
GAUUCGUCACACUAUCAUUAACUGAAUCCAUAGGUUAAUGAGGCGAACCGGGGGAACUGAAACAUCUAAGUACCCCGAGGAAAAGAAAUCAACCGAGAUUCCCCCAGUAGCGGCGAGCGAACGGGGAGGAGCCCAGAGCCUGAAUCAGCAUGUGUGUUAGUGGAAGCGUCUGGAAAGGCGCGCGAUACAGGGUGACAGCCCCGUACACAAAAGCGCAUGUGCUGUGAGCUCGAUGAGUAGGGCGGGACACGUGGUAUCCUGUCUGAAUAUGGGGGGACCAUCCUCCAAGGCUAAAUACUCCUGACUGACCGAUAGUGAACCAGUACCGUGAGGGAAAGGCGAAAAGAACCCCGGCGAGGGGAGUGAAAAAGAACCUGAAACCGUGUACGUACAAGCAGUGGGAGCCCCACCACUAAGCCAGUGGUGAACUCCACAUACGCAUCCUUUGCUGAGGAUACGGUUAACGGAGCGAAAGCGACGUUCAACCUCAAAAGAAGCAGAGGGGGCUUAGUGGUGGGGUGACUGCGUACCUUUUGUAUAAUGGGUCAGCGACUUAUAUUCUGUAGCAAGGUUAACCGUAUAGGGGAGCCGGAGGGAAACCGAGUCUUAAUUGGGCGUUAAGUUGCAGGGUAUAGACCCGAAACCCGGUGAUCUAGCCAUGGGCAGGUUGAAGGUUGGGUAACACUAACUGGAGGACCGAACCGACUAAUGUUGAAAAAUUAGCGGAUGACCUGUGGCUGGGGGUGAAAGGCCAAUCAAACCGGGAGAUAGCUGGUUCUCCCCGAAAGCUAUUUAGGUAGCGCCUCGUGAAUUCAUCUCCGGGGGUAGAGCACUGUUUCGGCUAGGGG